RNAcentral lists this ribosomal RNA (410 nucleotides) under uncultured bacterium. RNAcentral describes it as "bacterial SSU rRNA". It matches the Rfam family "Bacterial small subunit ribosomal RNA", at positions 126 to 522 of the family's 1533-position model. The record is from RNAcentral.
CUACCUAUAAGACUGGGAUAACUUCGGGAAACCGGAGCUAAUACCGGAUCAACAUAUUGAACCGCAUGGUUCAAUAGUGAAAGGCGGCUUUGCUGUCACUUAUAGAUGGAUCCGCGCCGUAUUAGCUAGUUGGUAAGGUAACGGCUUACCAAGGCAACGAUACGUAGCCGACCUGAGAGGGUGAUCGGCCACACUGGAACUGAGACACGGUCCAGACUCCUACGGGAGGCAGCAGUAGGGAAUCUUCCGCAAUGGGCGAAAGCCUGACGGAGCAACGCCGCGUGAGUGAUGAAGGUCUUCGGAUCGUAAAACUCUGUUAUCAGGGAAGAACAAAUGUGUAAGUAACUGUGCACAUCUUGACGGUACCUGAUCAGAAAGCCACGGCUAACUACGUGCCAGCAGCCGCGGUA